GUGGGGAAUCUUGCGCAAUGGGCGAAAGCCUGACGCAGCCAUGCCGCGUGAAUGAUGAAGGUCUUAGGAUUGUAAAAUUCUUUCACCGGGGACGAUAAUGACGGUACCCGGAGAAGAAGCCACGGCUAACUUCGUGCCAGCAGCCGCGGUAAUACGAAGGGGGCUAGCGUUGCCCGGAAUUACUGGGCGUAAAGGGCGCGUAGGCGGACAGCUUAGUCAGAGGUGAAAGCCCAGGGCUCAACCUUGGAAUUGCCUUUGAUACUGGCUGUCUUGAGUACGGAAGAGGUGAGUGGAACUCCGAGUGUGGAGGUGAAAUUCGUAGAUAUUCGGAAGAACACCAGUGGCGAAGGCGACUCACUGGCCCGUUACUGACGCUGAGGCGCGAAAGCGUGGGGAGCAAACAGGAUUAGAUACCCCGGUAGUCC
This 425-nucleotide ribosomal RNA is filed under the name uncultured bacterium. RNAcentral's name for it is "partial 16S ribosomal RNA". It matches the Rfam family "Bacterial small subunit ribosomal RNA", at positions 354 to 796 of the family's 1533-position model. The record is from RNAcentral.